Molecule: small RNA, 549 nt
Filed under: Pan troglodytes (chimpanzee)
Lineage: Eukaryota; Metazoa; Chordata; Mammalia; Primates; Hominidae
Description: processed transcript
Source: RNAcentral
CCCAGCUCGGGAGACAUGGCGGGCGUUAAAGCUCUCGUGGCAUUAUCCUUCAGUGGGGCUAUUGGACUGACUUUUCUUAUGCUGGGAUGUGCCUUAGAGGAUUAUGGCGUUUACUGGCCCUUAUUCGUCCUGAUUUUCCACGCCAUCUCCCCCAUCCCCCAUUUCAUUGCCAAAAGAGUCACCUAUGACUCAGAUGCAACCAGUAGUGCCUGUCGGGAACUGGCAUAUUUCUUCACUACUGGAAUUGUUGUUUCUGCCUUUGGAUUUCCUGUUAUUCUUGCUCGUGUGGCUGUGGUAAGUUUUAUUUUCUAUUGUUUUGCCCAACUGUUGCUGAGUUUACUUCAGAGGCCUGUGUCUGGGACCUCCAUUUCAUGUUCAUUAUUUAGGCUUUAUACUCAAGGCCGUGUGUUUUUAGUUUCUCUGUUCCUCUACUUUAGACCUGCCUAACAGUAGUUCGGCCAUGCCUUCAGAGUGCUUUCUUUAUUUCUCUUACAACUUUUAGCCAGACGAUAUGAUUUCUUACUUUUUCUACUUUAAGCUAUUCUCUGG